UGGGGUGCAGCUCAGAGGUAAAGCACUUGCCCAGCAUGCAUGAGGCCCUGGGUUCCAUCCCCAGCACUAUGG
Molecule: transfer RNA, 72 nt
Filed under: Marmota monax (woodchuck)
Lineage: Eukaryota; Metazoa; Chordata; Mammalia; Rodentia; Sciuridae
Rfam family: tRNA
About the family: Transfer RNA (tRNA) molecules are approximately 80 nucleotides in length. Their secondary structure includes four short double-helical elements and three loops (D, anti-codon, and T loops).
Source: Rfam by way of RNAcentral